AUGCAAGUCGUACGAGAGUUUUUAACUCAAGUGGCGGACGGGUGAGUAACACGUGAGAAUUUGCCUUUAGGAGGGGGAUAACAGAGUGAAAACGCUGCUAAUACCCCAUAUGCUUUCGAGUGAAAUGGAUUUAUUCGCCUAAAGAGAAGCUCGCGGCUGAUUAGCUUGUUGGUAAGGUAAUGGCUUACCAAGGCGACGAUCAGUAUCUGGUUUGAGAGGACGAUCAGACACACUGGAACUGAGACACGGUCCAGACUCCUACGGGAGGCAGCAGUGGGGAAUUUUCCGCAAUGGGCGAAAGUCUGACGGAGCAAUACCGCGUGAGGGAAGACGGCCUAUGGGUUGUAAACCUCUUUUCUCAGGGAGGAAAUCAAUGACGUUACCUGAGGAAUAAGCAUCGGCUAACUCCGUGCCAGCAGCCGCGGUAAGACGGAGGAUGCAAGUGUUAUCCGGAAUCACUGGGCGUAAAGCGUCUGUAGGUGGCUUAACAAGUCAACUGUUAAAUCUUGAAGCUCAACUUCGAAAUCGCAGUCGAAACUGUUAGGCUAGAGUAUAGUAGGGGUAAAGGGAAUUUCCAGUGGAGCGGUGAAAUGCGUAGAGAUUGGAAAGAACACCGAUGGCGAAGGCACUUUACUGGGCUAUCACUGACACUCAGAGACGAAAGCUAGGGUAGCAAAUGGGAUUAGAUACCCCAGUAGUCCUAGCCGUAAACAAUGGAUACUAGAUGUGGGCAGAUCGACCUGUUCAGUAUUAAAGCUAACGCGUUAAGUAUCCCGCCUGGGAAGUAUGCGCGCAAGCGUGAAACUCAAAGGAAUUGACGGGGCCGCACAAGCGGUGGAGCAUGUGGUUAUCGAUGAUACCCGUAGACUACUGGACUGAAUAUAAGGUCAGCUUAGAGAUUAGUGUGCAUACGCCUAUACAGUGUGCAUGCUGUCGUCAGCUC
RNAcentral lists this ribosomal RNA (943 nucleotides) under uncultured bacterium. RNAcentral describes it as "bacterial SSU rRNA". It matches the Rfam family "Bacterial small subunit ribosomal RNA", at positions 55 to 1061 of the family's 1533-position model. The record is from RNAcentral.